RNAcentral lists this small nuclear RNA (107 nucleotides) under Spermophilus dauricus (Daurian ground squirrel). Lineage: Eukaryota; Metazoa; Chordata; Mammalia; Rodentia; Sciuridae. The record is from RNAcentral.
GUGCUCGCUUCGGCAGCACAUAUACUAAAAUUGGAACGAUACAGAGAAGAUGAGCAUGGCCCCUGCGCAAGGAUGAAAAUUGUGGAUGUGUAACCGACGUGAUUCUG